This 23-nucleotide non-coding RNA is filed under the name Arabidopsis thaliana (thale cress). The record is from RNAcentral. Lineage: Eukaryota; Viridiplantae; Streptophyta; Magnoliopsida; Brassicales; Brassicaceae.
AAGGAAACCCGAUUGCUACAUAC